GCCAGGCGUGGUGGUGCAUGCCUGUAAUCCCAGCUACUCAGGAGGCUGAGGCAGGAGAAUUGCUUGAACCCGGGAGGCAGAGAUUGCAGUGAGCUGAGAUCGCACCACUGCACUCUAGCCUGGGUGACAGAGCGAGACUCUGUCUCAA
This 148-nucleotide non-coding RNA is filed under the name Homo sapiens (human). Lineage: Eukaryota; Metazoa; Chordata; Mammalia; Primates; Hominidae. The record is from Rfam by way of RNAcentral.